RNAcentral lists this ribosomal RNA (607 nucleotides) under uncultured bacterium. RNAcentral's name for it is "bacterial SSU rRNA". It matches the Rfam family "Bacterial small subunit ribosomal RNA", at positions 15 to 639 of the family's 1533-position model. The record is from RNAcentral.
GAUCCUGGCUCAGGACGAACGCUGGCGGCGUGCUUAACACAUGCAAGUCGAGCGAGGAAAUUCUUUCGGGGAUUUCCUAGCGGCGGACGGGUGAGUAACACGUGGGCAACCUGCCUGAUAGAGGGGGAUAGCCUCCCGAAAGGGAGAUUAAUACCGCAUAAAGUCAAAUGAAGGCAUCUUCAAAUGACCAAAGGAGUAAUCCGCUAUCAGAUGGGCCCGCGGCGCAUUAGCUAGUUGGUGAGGUAACGGCUCACCAAGGCGACGAUGCGUAGCCGACCUGAGAGGGUGAUCGGCCACAUUGGGACUGAGACACGGCCCAGACUCCUACGGGAGGCAGCAGUGGGGAAUAUUGCACAAUGGGGGAAACCCUGAUGCAGCAACGCCGCGUGAGUGAUGAAGGCCUUCGGGUUGUAAAGCUCUGUCUUCAGGGACGAUAAUGACGGUACCUGAGGAGGAAGCCACGGCUAACUACGUGCCAGCAGCCGCGGUAAUACGUAGGUGGCAAGCGUUGUCCGGAUUUACUGGGCGUAAAGGGAGCGUAGGCGGAUACUUAAGUGGGACGUGAAAUACCUGGGCUUAACUUGGGUGCUGCAUUCCAAACUGGGUG